This 340-nucleotide ribosomal RNA is filed under the name uncultured Cercozoa. RNAcentral describes it as "partial 18S ribosomal RNA". The stretch from base 124 to 340 matches the Rfam family "Eukaryotic small subunit ribosomal RNA", at positions 744 to 955 of the family's 1831-position model. Lineage: Eukaryota; Cercozoa. The record is from RNAcentral.
GACUUGUGUGCGCCGGAUGCGGCGAUCUGCGGCCAAAAGGUCGUUGCGAUCAGCCCGUCCUGGCGCCGUAAAAUUUGCAACUGGGUCGCCGCUGGUCUUAAUUGGUCGGUGGCGUCUGCUCGGUUGCUCGUUUACUGUGAGAAAAUUGGAGUGUUCAAGGCAGGCGUGGAUUGCAACUGAACAUGUUAGCAUGGAAUAAUAAGAUAGGGCUCCGGCUCAUAUUUUGUUGGUUUCUAGAGCGUGGGAGUAAUGAUUGAUAGGGACAGUUGGGGGUGCUAGUAUUCAGCGGCCAGAGGUGAAAUUCAUGGAUUCGCUGAAGACUGACUUAUGCGAAAGCAUU